RNAcentral lists this ribosomal RNA (890 nucleotides) under uncultured bacterium. RNAcentral describes it as "bacterial SSU rRNA". It matches the Rfam family "Bacterial small subunit ribosomal RNA", at positions 88 to 953 of the family's 1533-position model. The record is from RNAcentral.
UUGUAAAGUGGCGCACGGGUGAGUAACACGUGGGUAAUCUGCCCUUGAGUUUGGGAUAACCCCGCGAAAGCGGGGCUAAUACCGAAUAAGACCACGGAGACCAAAGUCUCUGAGGUAAAAGGUGGCCUCUAUUUAUAAGCUACCACUUGAGGAUGAGCCCGCGGCCCAUUAGCUAGUUGGCGGGGUAAUGGCCCACCAAGGCUAUGAUGGGUAGCUGGUCUGAGAGGACGAUCAGCCACACUGGAACUGAGACACGGUCCAGACUCCUACGGGAGGCAGCAGUGGGGAAUAUUGCGCAAUGGGCGAAAGCCUGACGCAGCAACGCCGCGUGGGGGAUGAAGGUUUUCGGAUUGUAAACCCCUUUCGAUCGGAACGAAUCUCCUCUUGGUAAACAAUCAGGAGGAUCGACGGUACCGAGAGAAGAAGCCACGGCUAACUCUGUGCCAGCAGCCGCGGUAAGACAGAGGUGGCGAGCGUUGUUCGGAUUUAUUGGGCGUAAAGCGAACGCAGGUGGUUUGGUAAGUCAGGGGUGAAAGUCCGCAGCUUAACUGCGGCACUGCCUUUGAUACUGCCUUUCUUGAGUGCAUGAGGGGGAAGCGGAAUUCCGAGUGUAGAGGUGAAAUUCGUAGAUAUUCGGAGGAACACCGGUGGCGAAGGCGGCUUCCUGGCAUGUAACUGACACUCAUGUUCGAAAGCGUGGGUAGCAAACAGGAUUAGAUACCCUGGUAGUCCACGCCCUAAACGAUGGGCACUAGGUGUGGGAGGUAUCGACCCCUUCCGUGCCGCAGCUAACGCAUUAAGUGCCCCGCCUGGGGAGUACGGCCGCAAGGUUGAAACUCAAAGGAAUUGACGGGGGCCCGCACAAGCGGUGGUGCAUGUGGUUUAAUUCG